UCGAGGGGCAGCGGGGGAGUAGCAAUACUCCCGCCGGCGACCGGCGCACGGGUGAGUAACACGUAUGAAACCUGCCCGUAGCAGGGGGAUAAGCGGAAGAAAUUCCGUCUAAUACCGCGUAACAACCCAUGGAGGCAUCUCUGUGGGUUUAAAGGAAGCGAUUCCGGCUACGGAUGGUCAUGCGUCGCAUUAGCUUGUUGGCGGGGUAACGGCCCACCAAGGCGACGAUGCGUAGGGGUUCUGAGAGGAAGGUCCCCCACACUGGUACUGAGACACAGACCAGACUCCUACGGGAGGCAGCAGUGAGGAAUAUUGGUCAAUGGCCGCAGGGCUGAACCAGCCAAGUCGCGUGAGGGAUGACGGUCCUAUGGAUUGUAAACCUCUUUUGUCAGGGAGCAAAGGGCGCCACGUGUGGCGCUUUGCGAGUACCUGAAGAAAAAGCAUCGGCUAACUCCGUGCCAGCAGCCGCGGUAAUACGGAGGAUGCGAGCGUUAUCCGGAUUUAUUGGGUUUAAAGGGUGCGCAGGCGGAAUGUCAAGUCAGCGGUAAAAUUUCGGGGCUCAACCCCGUCGUGCCGUUGAAACUGGCGUUCUUGAGUGAGCGAGAAGUAUGCGGAAUGCGUGGUGUAGCGGUGAAAUGCAUAGAUAUCACGCAGAACUCCGAUUGCGAAGGCAGCAUACCGGCGCUCAACUGACGCUCAUGCACGAAAGCGUGGGUAUCGAACAGGAUUAGAUACCCUGGUAGUCCACGCAGUAAACGAUGAAUACUAACUGUCCGGGUAGAAUGAUGCCUGGGUGGUACAGCGAAAGCGUUAAGUAUUCCACCUGGGGAGUACGCCGGCAACGGUGAAACUCAAAGGAAUUGACGGGGGCCCGCACAAGC
Molecule: ribosomal RNA, 881 nt
Filed under: uncultured bacterium
Lineage: Bacteria
Description: bacterial SSU rRNA
Rfam family: Bacterial small subunit ribosomal RNA
Source: RNAcentral